This 819-nucleotide long non-coding RNA is filed under the name Cyanistes caeruleus (blue tit). Its description in RNAcentral is "lncRNA (ENSCCEG00000003329.1)". The record is from RNAcentral. Lineage: Eukaryota; Metazoa; Chordata; Aves; Passeriformes; Paridae.
AAAACACCCGGAAAACACCCGGAAAUACACCCAGAAACACCCCGGAAACACCCGGAAAUACACCCAGAAACACCCCGAAAACACCCGGAAAUACACCCAGAAACAGCCCAAAAACACCUGGAAAUACACCCAGAAACACCCGGAAAUACACCCAGAAAUACACCCAGAAACAACCCAAAACACCCGGAAAUACACCCGGAAACAGCCCGAAAACACCCGGAAAUACACCCAGAAAUACCCAAAAAUACCCCAAAAUUGCUGGUCUGUACUGGAGUGUUACUGGUUUAUACUGGAGUGUUACUGGGAUUUAUUAACCCUUACUGGUCUGUACUGGGAGCCGUUACUGGUCUGUACUGGGAGCUGUUACUGGUCUGUACUGGGAGCCGUUACUGGUCUGUACUGGGAGCUGUUACUGGUCUGUACUGGUCUGUACUGGGAGCUGUUACUGGUCUGUACUGGUCUGUACUGGGAGCUGUUACUGGUCUGUACUGGGAGCUGUUACUGGGAUUUAUUAACCCUUACUGGUCUGUACUGGGAGCUGUUACUGGUCUAUACUGGUCUGUACUGGUGUCAAUAAAGGUGUCAAUGGAGCAGUGGCUGUGUGGGGGAAGGGUACUGGGACAUACUGGGGCAUACUGGGACAUACUGGGACAUACUGGGGUGUACUGGGGCAUACUGGGACAUACUGGGGUGUACUGGGACAUACUGGGACAUACUGGGGUGUACUGGGACAUACUGGGACAUACUGGGACAUACUGGGGCAUACUGGGACAUACUGGGACAUACUGGGGUGUACUGGGACAUACUGGGACAUACUGG